GGGAAUAGAGUUGGGAUUUGGCAGGUGUGGGGGUGAGAGGCUGAGCUCUGGUAGAGCAGCCAAGAAGAGAAAUUAUUCACAGUAGCACAGAACAGAGAAGAAGCAUUAAACACACCUGGUACAUAUACAGGACGCUCGGUUAUUUCUAAAAGAAAUCCUCGCUGCCUUUUUUACUUCUGUGCACGUUGUGAAGUCGUUACCUCCUGGCAAGCUCACGCUCAGCUGCUGUGAUCAGCGCUGCAGUGCUGCAAGAUUACUGUAAUCACAGCAGUGAGCCGAGUCCGCGGGAAGAUGUGGGGCACAGGGACAAGGACCAGAACCAGAGCUUGAAACAGAGAAGACCAAAGCAGUUUUAAAGAUCUUGUUAUCCUUGGUAUCCUGAGGACAAAAAGAAAGCCAUCCAGCUUUGACAGGUUGACUGCUGGGGAGUCGGAAAUCCAGCAAGGCAGAUAUGGAGGAAGACUACAUAAAUGCAUCGGAUACAAGCAGGAACAUGCUGUGGAAAGUACUGAUAAGUAACAGCAUACCAGGCUGAUAUUUUUCUUUCCUCCAGCGAAUUUGUGAUGGGGAUGCCUACUGGUGAAUGGAGUUGCUAACUGGUUUUCUGAGGGCCUCCUUGGAAGCCAUGCAGUGUGCUUAGUCCUUCAUGUGGACCUCUCAGCGGAAGUCACGCGUGUAACUUGUCCCUUAUUUAUGCUGUGAUGAUGGCAUAACCCAAAUUCCCCAUUGAGUGGGUACUUCCUCUUCUCAAAUUUAUUAGGACAAUAUGGCUUCUCUGCUCCUGGGUUCUGUGGUAUAGGCUUUCUGGGUUUUCAGCCUGGUUCCACUUUAACUUCGUGAAAACAACCUCAAAGAUAAGAGCAACCAACUUUUAAAGAUGAGACAUUGCCUUUAAUAAGGCAAAAGAUCCCUCAGUGAUAUUUUCCUUUUGGGAGGCUUGUCACAUAGAUCACAAUCAAUUAGCCAUGAAAAGAAACAUUUCAAGCCCUUAAAUAACAGCAGUGUGACUUGAAGAGCAGAAGAGAUCAACACUGCUCUGUAUUUACUGACAUUGAACUUAUUCACAACUUUCUCUAGAGAUCAUAAAACAGAUGUUUAGACACAAGUGACAGACACAAUUAUUCUUUGAAAUUAACAACUGCAUAUUUUGCAGGGAUAGUUAAAAGCAGUAUGGGGUUUUUGUCCACUGUGUAUCUUAUUUCUGCAUGCACUUUAUUUCUGGCAUUUUAAUUCUUUCAGUGAGUGGCAAGGAGGCUGGCAGAAGACAGCAACCGCAUCAGGCUUUUGUCUUGGUGUCAUAAUCACAGAAUGGAUUAGGUUGGAAGAGACCUUAAAGAUAUUCUAGUUUCAACCCCACUCUGUGUGUUGGUUGUCCCAUACCAGAUCAGGCUGCUCAGGACUCCACUUAGCGUGGCCUUGAUUGCCUUCAGUGAUGGAGCAUCAACUUCUUGGGGCAGCCUGUGCUAGUGCCUCGCUGUCUUCUGAGUAAAGGAUUUCCUUCUAAGAUCUAACCUAAGUCUUCCCUCUUCUGGUUUAAAGCCAUUUUCCCUUGUCCUAUCACUAUUUGCCAUGUAAGAAGUUGGUCUCUUUCCUGUAUGUAAGCUUCCUUUAAAUAUGGAAAGGCCACAAUGAGGUCUCCUUGGAGCCUUCUCCAGUCUGAAAAGCUCCAGCUCUUUCAGCCUUUUCCAUUGGAGAGGUACUCUGAUUCUCUUUGUGUCCUCCUCUAGACCUACUCCAGCAGCUCUGAAAGAUUCAGUAGGAGUGAAAAAAAUAAUGGCUGUACCAUCCUAUCAGCCCUCUCUUCCUUAUGUUUCAAUUUCUGAAGAUUUGUGAUAUAUCCCUGAAGUAUUUACUCUUCAAGCCUCUUUGAGGCUGUUUUUUUCUUUCUUUAUUUCUUUUUUUUUUUUUUUUUCUAAAGACAGAAGUAAUUUCCACUUGUUUGCAUAUGAGGGCUUUCUGACUGAGCUGCUUGGCAGUCACCUGUUUCUAAUCCUCCUUGAUUUACACAUGCUUUUGGCAAUUUCCCAGCUUUACUCUACUGUAAAGAGUACGCUUAGCACAGGCUCUAGCUGUUUGUUUCUGAGAGGGAGGUCGGUGAUUACUUCUGCCUCGCAGCCACAACAAAAGCAAAAUGCUUUAUGAAAUGCUAAGUGAUGCUGUGUUCUCCAAGUAAAGCCUUGGUUUCUUGUAUCAGCAACAACUGAGAGCACUGGAAAGCAAGUCUAUUUUUGCAUUCCUACUCUUGUUAUGGAGCCUAACAAAGUCAUUCAAAUUUUUGUAUUUCUGUCUUCUGUUAAAGUUGGUUUUUGUUGUUUUUCUUCCAUCAAGAUGGAAAACCAUAUAUAGGCAAGCUUGGAAAGAGAGUACAAGAGACAGUAAAAGAAAACAGUGCUGUGUUCAUGUUAAAGAAUUGCUGUCUGUAUUAUCAAACACGCUCAAAAACUAUAUGCUUUCAGCGAGAACAGAAUGGAUUUCAAACAAAAAAGUAUGUAUUUCAGAGAGUAUGGAAAUUUUCCUGAUAAUACAUGCAUUUCCUCCAAAACAGCCUUUAUGCAGGCAGGUCAUGGAAAGAACCUGGUGGACCUGUGCUACCCAAAUUCCCCCAGUAGAGGGAGUUACUCAGGAGUCAAAAUAUCAGUGUAAGUCAGAAAGCACAUACAGUACAGGACAGACCAAAUGAACCCUGGAUAUCAUGCCAAGGAAGUCUCUGCAUUCAACUUCUGGAUAGUAUUUUCACUUCCAUUUCUUCGUUCUCUGACACUUUGAAAAUAGGUUCCUAUUUGAAAAUACUAGCCCUAUCACCUUUCCCUAACAAAAUAAAGAACUGCAACUUUAAUUUCUUGGAUCUUGCAAAUCUAAAAGAUACUUCCUGAAAGCAUGUGAAAUAUGAAUAUUUUCAAAAAAUAUAUUCUGUUCCUUCAUGAAAUACGUUCUCCUCUUGAAAGCCAUGUGAAGUUUAGAUAUGUUUGCAGAUAAAUCUCUUCAGGUGAUGCAUCCAGUAUGUGCAGUGAGCUGGUAUACUGGCAUAUGAUGAUGGCUCUUGAGAGAGGGUUUCCAGCAUUUUCCAAGGAGUAAAUGGAGGUGGAAAGAGAGUAGCAGGGUGUCACCUUCUGAAAGUUUGUACCCACACAUUUAAGU
This is a long non-coding RNA of Lagopus muta (rock ptarmigan), 3138 nucleotides long. RefSeq lists it as uncharacterized. The transcript has 3 exons. The record is from RefSeq and is a predicted model, not a curated record. Lineage: Eukaryota; Metazoa; Chordata; Aves; Galliformes; Phasianidae.